This 768-nucleotide ribosomal RNA is filed under the name uncultured bacterium. Its description in RNAcentral is "bacterial SSU rRNA". It matches the Rfam family "Bacterial small subunit ribosomal RNA", at positions 51 to 841 of the family's 1533-position model. The record is from RNAcentral.
ACACAUGCAAGUCGAACGGCACCUGCCUUCGGGCAGAAGCGAGUGGCGAACGGCUGAGUAACACGUGGAGAACCUGCCCCCUCCCCCGGGAUAGCCGCCCGAAAGGACGGGUAAUACCGGAUACCCCGGGGUGCCGCAUGGCGCCCCGGCUAAAGCCCCGACGGGAGGGGACGGCUCCGCGGCCCAUCAGGUAGACGGCGGGGUGACGGCCCACCGUGCCGACAACGGGUAGCCGGGUUGAGAGACCGACCGGCCAGAUUGGGACUGAGACACGGCCCAGACUCCUACGGGAGGCAGCAGUGGGGAAUCUUGCGCAAUGGGGGGAACCCUGACGUAGCGACGCCGCGUGCGGGACGGAGGCCUUCGGGUCGUAAACCGCUUUCAGCAGGGAAGAGUCGAGACUGUACCUGCAGAAGAAGCCCCGGCUAACUACGUGCCAGCAGCCGCGGUAAUACGUAGGGGGCGAGCGUUAUCCGGAUUCAUUGGGCGUAAAGCGCGCGUAGGCGGCCCGGCAGGCCGGGGGUCGAAGCGGGGGGCUCAACCCCCCGAAGCCCCCGGAACCUCCGCGGCUUGGGUCCGGUAGGGGAGGGUGGAACACCCGGUGUAGCGGUGGAAUGCGCAGAUAUCGGGUGGAACACCGGUGGCGAAGGCGGCCCUCUGGGCCGAGACCGACGCUGAGGCGCGAAAGCUGGGGGAGCGAACAGGAUUAGAUACCCUGGUAGUCCCAGCCGUAAACGAUGGACGCUAGGUGUGGGGGGACGAUCCCCC